This 392-nucleotide ribosomal RNA is filed under the name Globigerina bulloides. RNAcentral's name for it is "bacterial SSU rRNA". It matches the Rfam family "Eukaryotic small subunit ribosomal RNA", at positions 1164 to 1398 of the family's 1831-position model. Lineage: Eukaryota; Foraminifera; Rotaliida; Globigerinidae. The record is from RNAcentral.
GCACCACAAGAGCGUGGAGUAUGUGGCUUAAUUUGACUCAACGCGGAAAAGCUUAUCUGGUCCGGACGCAGUGAGGAUUGACAGACAGUUUCAGGAGUGGUUCUUGGUAAACAAUUGAGAGAGUUGAAGUUCUUUCAUGAUCUUGUGAGAGGUGGUGCAUGGCCGUUCUUAGUUCGUGUAGUGAUAUGUCUGCCUAAUCGCGUCACGAUAACCUAUUGGUCGACAACCCAAUUAUCACAACUGCAGCAUAACUCCCCUUGGGUGGGCGAGGCUCUGUGUAGGAUAGACCUCUGAACAGUACGCAACGAACGCGAUCGUAAUCCCUUGUUGAGUGGCCAUCCUGUAAGCUGCUGGAUUAGGAACCCAGUGGUAUUAUCUCAGCCACAGAUUUU